RNAcentral lists this ribosomal RNA (507 nucleotides) under Staphylococcus aureus. Its description in RNAcentral is "partial 23S ribosomal RNA". It matches the Rfam family "Bacterial large subunit ribosomal RNA", at positions 1402 to 1800 of the family's 2925-position model. Lineage: Bacteria; Bacillati; Bacillota; Bacilli; Caryophanales; Staphylococcaceae. The record is from RNAcentral.
CCGACAGGCGUAGUCGAUGGACAACGGGUUGAUAUUCCCGUACCCGUGUGAACGCGCCCCUGAUGAAUCACUGGUACUAACCAUCCUGAAGAUUCCUUUUUCCCUUCGGGGGAUUGGGGGUUGGAUGCAUGGGACCUUCGGUGGUAGUAGUCAAGCGAUGGGGUGACGCAGGAAGGUAGCUGGGCCGGCUGGUGGAAUAGCCGGUGUAAGCCUGUAGGGCGAGUGGUAGGCAAAUCCGCCACUCAUAUGGCCUGAGAGGUGAUGCGUAGCCGUUGUGGUGAAUUCAGUGAUCCUAUGCUGCCGAGAAAAGCCUCUAGCGAGCUUUCACAUGGCCCGUACCCCAAACCGACACAGGUGGUCAGGUAGAGAAUACUGAGGCGAUCGAGAUAACUGUGGUUAAGGAACUCGGCAAAAUGCCCCCGUAACUUCGGGAGAAGGGGGACCUUGUCUGGUGAUGAGUCUUGCACUCUGAGCUGGGUGGGGUCGCAGAGACCAGAGAGAAGCGAC